This 253-nucleotide ribosomal RNA is filed under the name uncultured bacterium. RNAcentral's name for it is "partial 16S ribosomal RNA". It matches the Rfam family "Bacterial small subunit ribosomal RNA", at positions 524 to 776 of the family's 1533-position model. The record is from RNAcentral.
UACAGAGGUCUCAAGCGUUGUUCGGAUUCAUUGGGCGUAAAGGGUGCGUAGGCGGCGCGGUAAGUCGGGUGUGAAAUCUCGGAGCUUAACUCCGAAACUGCAUUCGAUACUGCCGUGCUUGAGGACUGGAGAGGAGACUGGAAUUUACGGUGUAGCGGUGAAAUGCGUAGAUAUCGUAAGGAAGACCAGUGGCGAAGGCGGGUCUCUGGACAGUUCCUGACGCUGAGGCGCGAAAGUGUGGGGAUCAAACAGG